AACGCUGGCGGCAGGCCUAACACAUGCAAGUCGAGCGGUAGAGAGGUGCUUGCAUCUCUUGAGAGCGGCGGACGGGUGAGUAAUGCCUAGGAUCUGCCUGGUGGUGGGGGAUAACGUUCGGAAACGGACGCUAAUACCGCAUACGUCCUACGGGAGAAAGCGGGGGAUCUUCGGACCUCGCGCCAUUAGAUGAGCCUAGGUCGGAUUAGCUAGUUGGUGAGGUAAUGGCUCACCAAGGCGACGAUCCGUAACUGGUCUGAGAGGAUGAUCAGUCACACUGGAACUGAGACACGGUCCAGACUCCUACGGGAGGCAGCAGUGGGGAAUAUUGGACAAUGGGCGAAAGCCUGAUCCAGCCAUGCCGCGUGUGUGAAGAAGGUCUUCGGAUUGUAAAGCACUUUAAGUUGGGAGGAAGGGUAGUAACCUAAUACGUUGCUACUUUGACGUUACCGACAGAAUAAGCACCGGCUAACUUCGUG
RNAcentral lists this ribosomal RNA (479 nucleotides) under uncultured bacterium. Its description in RNAcentral is "bacterial SSU rRNA". It matches the Rfam family "Bacterial small subunit ribosomal RNA", at positions 32 to 507 of the family's 1533-position model. The record is from RNAcentral.